RNAcentral lists this ribosomal RNA (253 nucleotides) under uncultured bacterium. RNAcentral's name for it is "partial 16S ribosomal RNA". It matches the Rfam family "Bacterial small subunit ribosomal RNA", at positions 524 to 776 of the family's 1533-position model. The record is from RNAcentral.
UACGUAGGGUGCGAGCGUUGUCCGGAAUUACUGGGCGUAAAGAGCUCGUAGGUGGUUUGUCGCGUUGUCCGUGAAAACUCACAACUCAAUUGUGGGCGUGCGGGCGAUACGGGCAGACUGGAGUACUGCAGGGGAGACUGGAAUUCCUGGUGUAGCGGUGGAAUGCGCAGAUAUCAGGAAGAACACCCGUGGCGAAAGCGGCUCUCUGGGACGGUACUGACGCUGAGACGCGAAAGCGUGGGGAGCGAACAGG